GUGCAGCAGGCGAGAAUUUUUGACAAUGGGGGAAACCCCGAUCGAGCGACGCCGCGUGGAGGAUGAAGGUCUUCGGAUUGUAAACUCCUGUCAUUGGGGAACAAGGUGCAUACGUUAACUGCGUGUGUAUUGAUAGUACCCGAAGAGGAAGGGACGGCUAACUCUGUGCCAGCAGCCGUGGUAAUACAGAGGUCCCAAGCGUUGUUCGGAUUCAUUGGGCGUAAAGGGUGCGUAGGCGGCGCGGUAAGUCGGGUGUGAAAUCUCGGAGCUUAACUCCGAAACUGCAUUCGAUACUGCCGUGCUUGAGGACUGGAGAGGAGACUGGAAUUUACGGUGUAGCGGUGAAAUGCGUAGAUAUCGUAAGGAAGACCAGUGGCGAAGGCGGGUCUCUGGACAGUUCCUGACGCUGAGGCACGAAGGCCAGGGGAGCAAACGGGAUUAGAUACUCCGGUAGU
RNAcentral lists this ribosomal RNA (455 nucleotides) under uncultured organism. RNAcentral describes it as "bacterial SSU rRNA". It matches the Rfam family "Bacterial small subunit ribosomal RNA", at positions 346 to 794 of the family's 1533-position model. The record is from RNAcentral.